CAGCUGAAAGAAGAAAGCAGCUGAUGUCCUUGCUGACAUCUCUUUUAGUCGAGAAAUGGAGAAUCGUCUGAGAAAUGGCUUUGAAGAAGCUGUUCAAACCAGCAACAAGUGUCCUCAACUGGCCUAUUAGGCAAUGACCUCAUUGAUGGGAGUGUGAAGAUACCCUAUGGUAUGUCCAGCCUCUCUGGGACAUGAGGUGGAGGAGCAGAGCAAAGCAGCAGCAGCCGCCUGCAUGGUUCCUUCUACAACCUUGUCCCCUCAGCUCUCUGCACUGAAGCAAGUUUCUAAUGCAGUGUGAGCCUGUGUCCCAGACUUGAGCAGAGAUUCAAUAACAAAGGUCCUGCUUCUGAUCGAACAGAAACAUGAGACUGAACUUGUGACAGUGAUUGCUGAAUCAUGCUGGAGACAUCAUCCCAGGAGAACUAGGCAGCAGACUGAUGCAGAUCUGACACCAGCUGUCAACACUGAUUGUCACUUCCUCUGUAAUACAUCACAUCUACAAAAACAGAUGUGUUCACUGCUUCACAUUUUGUAUUGUUUUUCUACUGUGCACAAUAAAUAAAAUCUAUUUCCAU
Molecule: long non-coding RNA, 575 nt
Organism: Scomber japonicus (chub mackerel)
Lineage: Eukaryota; Metazoa; Chordata; Actinopteri; Scombriformes; Scombridae
Exons: 8
Source: RefSeq, a predicted model, not a curated record